Molecule: ribosomal RNA, 465 nt
Filed under: Vreelandella stevensii
Lineage: Bacteria; Pseudomonadati; Pseudomonadota; Gammaproteobacteria; Oceanospirillales; Halomonadaceae
Description: partial 16S ribosomal RNA
Rfam family: Bacterial small subunit ribosomal RNA
Source: RNAcentral
CCUACGGGUGGCAGCAGUGGGGAAUAUUGGACAAUGGGCGAAAGCCUGAUCCAGCCAUGCCGCGUGUGUGAAGAAGGCCUUCGGGUUGUAAAGCACUUUCAGUGGGGAAGAAAGCCUUGGGGCUAAUACCCUCGAGGAAGGACAUCACCCACAGAAGAAGCACCGGCUAACUCCGUGCCAGCAGCCGCGGUAAUACGGAGGGUGCGAGCGUUAAUCGGAAUUACUGGGCGUAAAGCGCGCGUAGGCGGUCUGAUAAGCCGGUUGUGAAAGCCCCGGGCUCAACCUGGGAACGGCAUCCGGAACUGUCAGGCUAGAGUGCAGGAGAGGAAGGUAGAAUUCCCGGUGUAGCGGUGAAAUGCGUAGAGAUCAGGAGGAAUACCAGUGGCGAAGGCGGCCUUCUGGACUGACACUGACGCUGAGGUGCGAAAGCGUGGGUAGCAAACAGGAUUAGAUACCCUGGUAGUC